RNAcentral lists this ribosomal RNA (468 nucleotides) under uncultured bacterium. RNAcentral's name for it is "partial 16S ribosomal RNA". It matches the Rfam family "Bacterial small subunit ribosomal RNA", at positions 28 to 507 of the family's 1533-position model. The record is from RNAcentral.
GACGAACGCUGGCGGCGUGCUUAACACAUGCAAGUCGAACGGAAAGACCCUGCUCUUGUGGGGUGCUCGAUUGGCGCGCGGGUGAGUAACACGUGAGUAACCUGCCCCUGACUUUGGGAUAACUUCACGAAACUGCGGCUAAUAUCGGGUAGGAGCUCCUGCUGCACGGUGGGGGUUGGUGAAUUUCGGCGGUGGUGGCUCGAUUCGCGGCUUAUCAGCUUGUUGGUGGGGUUGUGGCGUACCAAGGCUUUGACGGGUAGCCGGCAUGGGAGGGGGGCCGGGGACAAGGGGACUAAGAUACGGAGCAGACUCCUACGGGAGGCAGCAGUGGGGAACUUUGCAGAACGGGCGGAAGCCUGAUGCGGCAAUGCCGCGUGCGGAAUGCCGUGUUAUGGGUUAAAAACCGAUGUGUAAUUAGACGAAGAGUGAGUGACGGUAAUGAGUAAGGAAGCACCGGCUAACUACGUG